ACGUGAAGGCCAAGUCGAUGCACCGGUUCUUCGAGGAAGGCGACAAGGUCAAGGUGACCCUGCGCUUCCGCGGCCGGGAAAUGGCGCACCCGGAACUGGGCAUGAAGCUGCUGCUCAAGGUCAAGGCCGACUUCGACGAAGUCGCCAAGGUCGAAUACGAGCCGCGCAUGGAAGGCCGCCAGAUGAUCAUGAUCCUGGCCCCGCGCUAGAGCAUUUUCGAGCGAAGUGGACACCGGUUCGCGUGAAGAAAAUGCGUUAAACAAAGAUCUAGAGCGCCGGCCUGAGGCAAUCAGGUCGGC
Molecule: unclassified non-coding RNA, 299 nt
Filed under: Caulobacter sp. UNC279MFTsu5.1
Lineage: Bacteria; Pseudomonadati; Pseudomonadota; Alphaproteobacteria; Caulobacterales; Caulobacteraceae
Description: Long range pseudoknot
Source: RNAcentral